AGACUAGAACUCAUCUCUCGAUGAAAACCCACAGAUUCACCUAUCGUUUAUUAAUCAAUUCUUCAUCUCCAACUCAAACAUGAAACCCCAAGAUUAAAACUCCCAACAACCUUUUUCAAUCUCCACAAAUCUAUCUUUCACUGAUAAGAUCUCUAAUUCUUCAAUCUCCUCUCUCAAUCUCAAGCUUCUUUUGGCACCAAGUGGUUGUGGAUUCUAUAAUCUGCGCUCAAGGAAGCUGAGGAGAAAAAACAGAGACUUCAGCAGAAGCUCGAGUCUCUCAUUGAGAUAAGCAUUGAAGGGUUGAAGCUGAAAAUUGGGGCCUAGAAAAGAGAUGGUUCCUAGCAAGUAUUAGAUUGUUUAGGAACCGAGAAAAAGGCACAAACCGAACCGAUUAGAAACAGUUCGGUUCUAGUUCGGUUUCAAUUUUUUUACUUUAAAUCCGAACCGUUUGUGGUAUGUAGUUUUCGGCGUCGGUUCGUAAGUUUUUUAACAAGAACAUACCCGGUCCCAGGCCUAGUUGUAUUGUAAGUAAAUAAGUUCCAUAAUUUAAUAAUUUGG
Long non-coding RNA from Rosa chinensis, 558 nucleotides. RefSeq lists it as uncharacterized. NCBI's taxonomy places the organism in Eukaryota, Viridiplantae, Streptophyta, Magnoliopsida, Rosales, Rosaceae. The transcript has 2 exons. The record is from RefSeq and is a predicted model, not a curated record.